Molecule: long non-coding RNA, 1252 nt
Organism: Loxodonta africana (African savanna elephant)
Lineage: Eukaryota; Metazoa; Chordata; Mammalia; Proboscidea; Elephantidae
Exons: 3
Source: RefSeq, a predicted model, not a curated record
GCCACUUGUGAUCUCAGCACUUAUGCUGGAAAGGAGGGCAGGAAGCAUAUCGCAAUGUGUGUCCGGACGAUGACCCAGAAGGGGGGAGUUGUGGUCACCCACGGACUCUGGGUCUGCAUAUGGAGGCCCCCAGGGUGCAAUUCCAGGAGCAGAAGGCAAAGCACAGAGGCCAAAGUGCACCUCGCUGAUGCUUCCCAGGGGCAUUUCCCCAAAUAUGGGGAGCAGUCCCUUCUCUGGGCUAGGGACUUUGUUUCCUCCAUUGUCAUCACUGACUGUGAGCAGACUCUAGUCUAUGCAGACUAAUGAGGAGUUAUCAAAAUGAGCUCCAAACUCCGGAUUUGAGUUAAGGAUCAUAAAUUAACACAGAGAAAUACGACUUUAGCAAUAAGUGACUGUUUGAAGUCCAGGUUGCCUUAAAACACGGAAUUUCAGUCUUUCAGCUCCUCUGCUAAUCUAGUGACUAAGAACAGGAUCUCAGUGGAGCUCAAAGAUGUGGGGCACUGGGAAUACUCUGGGUCUGUCUGCUCACGGCUGAUUGCCUGAUUCCCAGUUUUAUUAUACAGCUUAAAUACAGACCAGAAGAGGAGUUUGGGGCUUGACACCUGACAUCUUAACACCAGUUCCUGUUUCUUGAGGAAGGAAGAGGUAAAAUAAAUCAGCGUUUACUGUGUCCUUCUCCAUCCCCGGAAGUCUUCAUGAAGACCCUCUCAGCUUCAACUUGAACGUGAAUAUGAGCAACUGAUCAUCUGUUCUGCAGUCAGCCCCUGGCCUGAUUCUGACUCAUGAUAUUGACCUUCUCCAUCGUCACCUUCCACAAAUUUGAUUCCUGUCUAUUCUGCCUGGAAUAGUUCACGAGUAUAGUCACCAUUUAUGUUCCUGACGAAAGCAGGAGAAGGCUUCGUGGAGAGAGGCGGAUUCCAUGUGUGCAGGCAAAGUGUGUGCUGAGAUGAUGAGUCGCUGGAGACCAGGGUGGACUCUUCAGACCCAGGAUAGGCCUCUGGCAGGUAUGUGUCAAUAUUUUCUGCCCAUGGCACUCACCCGGGUAUUUGCAUAGAAUGUUAUGAGCGGCAUUAGUAGUCUCCGGAGAGGCUGCCACAUGUCAGCAAGCUUCACCCGUCAGGGUCCGCCCAUGAUGUAGCUCCCCAAUCAAUCACUACUCUCUAGACCUUCCAGAUAGACUAGCAGAUCUUCUCUGCCCAUGGGCAACCAGUAGAGCCAGAGGCCUUCUCCCUUUGCUCUUUCGUCUCUAGGU